GGGCCGGUAGAUCAGCCUGGAACGAUCGCAGCGUUGGCAUCGCUGAGGUCGCGGGUUCAAAUCCCGCCCGGUCCA
Molecule: transfer RNA, 75 nt
Filed under: Candidatus Bathyarchaeota archaeon
Lineage: Archaea; Thermoproteati; Candidatus Bathyarchaeota
Description: tRNA-Ala
Rfam family: tRNA
About the family: Transfer RNA (tRNA) molecules are approximately 80 nucleotides in length. Their secondary structure includes four short double-helical elements and three loops (D, anti-codon, and T loops).
Source: RNAcentral